This 406-nucleotide ribosomal RNA is filed under the name Pseudoxanthomonas mexicana. RNAcentral describes it as "bacterial SSU rRNA". It matches the Rfam family "Bacterial small subunit ribosomal RNA", at positions 79 to 481 of the family's 1533-position model. The record is from RNAcentral. Lineage: Bacteria; Pseudomonadati; Pseudomonadota; Gammaproteobacteria; Lysobacterales; Lysobacteraceae.
CUCUCUGGGUGGCGAGUGGCGGGACGGGUGAGGAAUACAUCGGAAUCUACCUUUUCGUGGGGGAUAACGUAGGGAAACYUACGCUAAUACCGCAUACGACCUACGGGUGAAAGUGGGGGACCGCAAGGCCUCACGCGAUUAGAUGAGCCGAUGUCCGAUUAGCUAGUUGGCGGGGUAAUGGCCCACCAAGGCGACGAUCGGUAGCUGGUCUGAGAGGAUGAUCAGCCACACUGGAACUGAGACACGGUCCAGACUCCUACGGGAGGCAGCAGUGGGGAAUAUUGGACAAUGGGCGCAAGCCUGAUCCAGCCAUACCGCGUGGGUGAAGAAGGCCUUCGGGUUGUAAAGCCCUUUUGUUGGGAAAGAAAKCCUGUCGAUUAAUACUCGGUGGGGAUGACGGUACCCA